Molecule: non-coding RNA, 1163 nt
Organism: Musa acuminata subsp. malaccensis (wild Malaysian banana)
Lineage: Eukaryota; Viridiplantae; Streptophyta; Magnoliopsida; Zingiberales; Musaceae
Source: RefSeq, a predicted model, not a curated record
CCGCCUCUCCGCAGACGAAGACAAGCUUGGUUGAAAUCGAGAAGGCCGCGAUAAGGCAUCCCCUUCUCCUUCGUGUCACCGAGAAAUCUCAUCCUUUUCUAGUUUUGAUCUGUUCUUCCGGUGGGUUACCACUCGUGUCUCGCUUAAAAGUUGGAUUUUGGGCGCUAGGGUUCCGUCUUUUGGUUCUUGCUAUCGUUGGGGAAGAGGAGGGAGGGAGGGAGCGAGGGAGGAUGGGUUGGUGGCUGAGGAGUUGCCUGCAGUCGGUGCUGAAGCUGGUGAAUUCGGUGAUGGGGUUGGCGGGGAUGGGGGUGAUCCUCUACUCGCUCUGGAUGCUUAGGUCGUGGUAUAAGCACUUCGACGGCUCAUCAUUUGCAGGCGCCGUUUCCUCUCCUCCAUGAUUGCCGUUUGGAUGCAUGUUGACUUGGCGAGUGAUGCUUGAUUGUAAAGGUUCAUUUACGCUUUUCUUGGACUAGGCAUUUACCUUUGUUUGAUUACAUGCUCUGGUCACAUCGCUGCUGAAACAGCUAACGGCCAAUGUCUUUCUUGUUACAUGGCAUUUGUGUUUCUGCUUGUCAUGAUGGAGGCUGCAUUAAUUGCAGAUAUAUUUCUGAACAGAGAAUGGGAGGAGGAUUUCCCAGAGGAUCCAACGGGAAAAUUUGAUGAGCUAAAGAAUUUUGUGAGAUCAAAUUUUGAAAUGUGUAAAUGGAUAGGUUUGUUGGUUGUGGCUGCACAAGCAUUUUCUAUCUUCACGGCUAUGGUGCUUAGGGCUCUCGGACCAGACAGUUCAAUUGAUUAUGACAGCGAUGACGACUUUGUCCCAGCUAGGCUGCCUCUUCUGAGAAAUGAGGUUCAGCAAACUUAUCAAACCGCUGCCCCCAGCUUGUCUUUGAAGAUUGAUUCUUGAAUUGGGUAAGUGAUGAAGACUGGUUUUUGAUCCCAAGACCUUACAACUAUCUAACAAAAUUUUCUCCGGUGAAACUGUGCUUAGUUAAUUACGGCGUUCCUUCUCUCCAGACGAAUAUUAUACUUUGGAUAUGGCGGUUCGUUUCAAUGCUAAUACAAUGCAUGUACCAUUCAUGUGGAAGUAAACUAAUGUAUAAAUGUUGUUCAAAUUGACAAAGCAUGUAUGACUGCCUAUUUUUAGCUUUGUUCCUGACACAGUA